This 479-nucleotide long non-coding RNA is filed under the name Homo sapiens (human). RNAcentral's name for it is "non-protein coding lnc-TATDN3-1:1". The record is from RNAcentral. Lineage: Eukaryota; Metazoa; Chordata; Mammalia; Primates; Hominidae.
ACCAAAUGGGAGACAAUAGCACCUGCGGGGACAGAGAGCCCAGACAUCAAGCUCUUUGGGAAGUGGAGCACCCAUGAUGUGCAUGCAGAUCAAUAACAUUUCCCUGCAGGAUUACAUUGCAGUGAAGAAGUAUGCCAAGCACCUGCCUCACAGUGCAGGGUAGUAUGCCGCCAAACGCUUCCGCAAAGCUCAGCACCCCAUUGUGGAGUGCCGCACUCACUCCAUGAUGCCGCAACAACUGCAAGAAACUCGUGACCUUGCGCAUCACCAAGCAUGCCUUCGAGACCAUUCACCUGCUCACAGGAGAGGACUCUCUGCAGGUCCUGGUGAACGCCAUCAUCAACAGUGGUCCCCGGGAGGACUCCAUACGUAUUGGGCGAGCCGAGCCUGGGCCGUGAGACCACAGGCUGUGGAAGUGUCCCCCUUGUGCCGUGUGAAUCAGGCCAUCUGGCUGUUGUCCACAGGUGCUCGUGAGGCCC